CCUACGGGACGCACCGGUGGGGAAUAUUGGACAAUGGGGGGAACCCUGAUCCAGCCAUGCCGCGUGUGUGAAGAAGGCCUUUUGGUUGUAAAGCACUUUAAGCGAGGAGGAGGCUACCUAGAUUAAUACUUUAGGAUAGUGGACGUUACUCGCAGAAUAAGCACCGGCUAACUCUGUGCCAGCAGCCGCGGUAAUACAGAGGGUGCGAGCGUUAAUCGGAUUUAUUGGGCGUAAAGCGUGCGUAGGCAGCCAAUUAAGUCAAAUGUGAAAUCCCCGAGCCUAACUUGGGAAUUGCAUUCGAUACUGGUUGGCUAGAGUAUGGGAGAGGAUGGUAGAAUUCCAGGUGUAGCGGUGAAAUGCGUAGAGAUCUGGAGGAAUACCGAUGGCGAAGGCAGCCAUCUGGCCUAAUACUGACGCUGAGGUACGAAAGCAUGGGGAGCAAACAGGAUUAGAUACCCUCGUAGUC
RNAcentral lists this ribosomal RNA (466 nucleotides) under uncultured bacterium. RNAcentral describes it as "bacterial SSU rRNA". It matches the Rfam family "Bacterial small subunit ribosomal RNA", at positions 338 to 795 of the family's 1533-position model. The record is from RNAcentral.